GAUGAACGCUGGCGGCGUGCCUAAUACAUGCAAGUCGAGCGAACGGACGAGAAGCUUGCUUCUCUGAUGUUAGCGGCGGACGGGUGAGUAACACGUGGAUAACCUACCUAUAAGACUGGGAUAACUUCGGGAAACCGGAGCUAAUACCGGAUAAUAUUUUGAACCGCAUGGUUCAAAAGUGAAAGACGGUCUUGCUGUCACUUAUAGAUGGAUCCGCGCUGCAUUAGCUAGUGGGUAAGGUAACGGCUUACCAAGGCAACGAUGCAUAGCCGACCUGAGAGGGUGAUCGGCCACACUGGAACUGAGACACGGUCCAGACUCCUACGGGAGGCAGCAGUAGGGAAUCUUCCGCAAUGGGCGAAAGCCUGACGGAGCAACGCCGCGUGAGUGAUGAAGGUCUUCGGAUCGUAAAACUCUGUUAUUAGGGAAGAACAUAUGUGUAAGUAACUGUGCACAUCUUGACGGUACCUAAUCAGAAAGCCACGGCUAACUACGU
This 496-nucleotide ribosomal RNA is filed under the name uncultured bacterium. Its description in RNAcentral is "partial 16S ribosomal RNA". It matches the Rfam family "Bacterial small subunit ribosomal RNA", at positions 28 to 506 of the family's 1533-position model. The record is from RNAcentral.